GACAGAGGGUGCAAACGUUGUUCGGAUUUACUGGGCGUAAAGCGCGUGUAGGCGGCUUUGCAAGUCGGAUGUGAAAUCCCACGGCUUAACCAUGGAAGUGCAUCCGAAACUGCAGUGCUUGAGUACUUAAGAGGAUCGCGGAAUUCCCGGUGUAGAGGUGAGAUUCGUAGAUAUCGUUUGGAACGCCAAUGGUGAAAACAGGUUGCUGGGAGUGUGCUGACGCUGAGACACGAAAGCCAGGGGAGCAAACGGG
RNAcentral lists this ribosomal RNA (253 nucleotides) under uncultured bacterium. Its description in RNAcentral is "partial 16S ribosomal RNA". It matches the Rfam family "Bacterial small subunit ribosomal RNA", at positions 524 to 776 of the family's 1533-position model. The record is from RNAcentral.